AGAUCUAUCUGGAUGGGAGAAACUAUGGUCAAGGAGACAGUUUUCCCACAGCGAGGCUCAUCCCCGGUGCCCCACAGCGAGGCUCAUCCACGGUGCUCCAGAUAUGCUGAUUGCAAUCUCUCCAAAUGUGUCAAAAUCAACUGUGGGAUUUGGGGGAAUGCGUUUGUGUUUUCCCUU
This 177-nucleotide small nuclear RNA is filed under the name Mus pahari (shrew mouse). Its description in RNAcentral is "snRNA (MGP_PahariEiJ_G0033422.1)". Lineage: Eukaryota; Metazoa; Chordata; Mammalia; Rodentia; Muridae. The record is from RNAcentral.